AUGGACCACGACUUCUCGCGUGGGGGCGGGUUGCCCAGUUUCGAGUUCGCGUUUAAUUCAGAGAACUUCUCCGACCGGGUGCUGCGGCUGGAGGUCGUCGCCAGCGACGGCGUCGCCGGAGGAUCCCUCCCCGACUUGGUGUUCCACCGCGAGAUGUGAUGGACAGAUGAGCAAAGUAUUGACUCUUCCUGGACCAUGGUAGCCACGCCAGUUUUACGAGUAAAGACCAUUUACGUCAGUUCGGUGGUUCUCGCUGCAAAUAGUCCAUUCUUUCUUAAGCUUUUCUCAAACGGUAUGAAAGAGUCUGAUCAGAGGCAUCUAACACUCCGAAUUGCUGAUUCAGAGGAAACUGUCAUGAUGGAGCUUUUGUUAUCAUUUAUGUACACUGGAAAGUUGACACCAACUGAACCCAAUCUUCUGCUCGACAUCUUGAUGGCCGCCGAUAAAUUUGAGGUUCUUGCUUGCAUGAGGCGUUGCUGCCAGUUGCUCACAAACUUGCCUAUGACACCAACUGAACCCAAUCUUCUGCUCUACCUAGAUUACCCAUGCUCCAGUUCAGUGGCUGCUGAAAUUCGACAUCUGACAGAUGCAGCCAAGGAAUUCCUCGCCAACAAAUACAAGGUUUUGGAUAAAUUCCCUCAUGAAUUGGUGGACAUGCCUCUUGUUGGAAUUGAAGCCAUCUUUUCUAGUUCUGACCUACAGAUAUCAUCUGAAGAUGCCGUAUAUACCUUCUUGCUCGAGUGGGUGUGCGAGCAAUACGUAGAAACAGAGGACAGACACAAGAUAUGGAGUUCUCGUUUACUUCCGCUGUUGCGCUUCAAUCAUAUGAGCUGGAAGAAACUCCACGAGGUCCUGACAUGCAGUGAUGAAGAUGAUGUAGACAAUGAGCAAACAAAGAAGCUUAUUACUGAUGUACUCUUGCACAAAGCUUACCCAGCACAUGAGCAAGGCACUAUUGAGGCAGACACAACAACCUGUUGCAAAGUUCCACAGCGAGCCUACAUGAGGAAACCCCUGAAAGUGGUUGAGUUCGAUCGACCCCGUCCACAGGUUAUUGUGUACUUGGAUCUAACGCGUGAGGAGUGCUCCCGACUCUUCCCAGAAGGAGUAUUAGUCUCGCAAUUGUUCCAUCUUGCAGGGCAGAACUUCUAUACCCAGCCAACCUGUGUACUUUGGCGAAGUUAG
This 1185-nucleotide ribosomal RNA is filed under the name Triticum aestivum (bread wheat). RNAcentral describes it as "partial small subunit ribosomal RNA". Lineage: Eukaryota; Viridiplantae; Streptophyta; Magnoliopsida; Poales; Poaceae. The record is from RNAcentral.